CCUACGGGAGGCAGCAGUGAGGAAUAUUGGUCAAUGGACGAGAGUCUGAACCAGCCAAGUAGCGUGAAGGAUGACUGCCCUAUGGGUUGUAAACUUCUUUUAUAUGGAAAUAAAACGUUCCACGUGUGGGAUUUUGUAUGUACAAUAUGAAUAAGGAUCGGCUAACUCCGUGCCAGCAGCCGCGGUAAUACGGAGGAUCCGAGCGUUAUCCGGAUUUAUUGGGUUUAAAGGGAGCGUAGGUGGAUUGUUAAGUCAGUUGUGAAAGUUUGCGGCUCAACCGUAAAAUUGCAGUUGAAACUGGCAGUCUUGAGUACAGUAGAGGUGGGCGGAAUUCGUGGUGUAGCGGUGAAAUGCUUAGAUAUCACGAAGAACUCCGAUUGCGAAGGCAGUUCACUGGACUGCAACUGACACUGAGGCUCGAAAGUGUGGGUAUCAAACAGGAUUAGAUACCCGGGUAGUC
This 460-nucleotide ribosomal RNA is filed under the name uncultured bacterium. RNAcentral's name for it is "partial 16S ribosomal RNA". It matches the Rfam family "Bacterial small subunit ribosomal RNA", at positions 338 to 795 of the family's 1533-position model. The record is from RNAcentral.